RNAcentral lists this ribosomal RNA (1396 nucleotides) under uncultured bacterium. RNAcentral describes it as "16S ribosomal RNA". It matches the Rfam family "Bacterial small subunit ribosomal RNA". The record is from RNAcentral.
UAGAGUUUGAUCCUGGCUCAGGAUGAACGCUAGCUACAGGCUUAACACAUGCAAGUCGAGGGGCAGCAUCAUCAAAGCUUGCUUUGAUGGAUGGCGACCGGCGCACGGGUGAGUAACACGUAUCCAACCUGCCGACAACACUGGGAUAGCCUUUCGAAAGAAAGAUUAAUACCGGAUGGCAUAGUUUUCCCGCAUGGGAUAAUUAUUAAAGAAUUUCGGUUGUCGAUGGGGAUGCGUUCCAUUAGGCAGUUGGCGGGGUAACGGCCCACCAAACCAACGAUGGAUAGGGGUUCUGAGAGGAAGGUCCCGCACAUUGGAACUGAGACACGGUCCAAACUCCUACGGGAGGCAGCAGUGAGGAAUAUUGGUCAAUGGACGAGAGUCUGAACCAGCCAAGUAGCGUGAAGGAUGACUGCCCUAUGGGUUGUAAACUUCUUUUAUACGGGAAUAAAGUUAGCCACGUGUGGCUUUUUGUAUGUACCGUAUGAAUAAGGAUCGGCUAACUCCGUGCCAGCAGCCGCGGUAAUACGGAGGAUCCGAGCGUUAUCCGGAUUUAUUGGGUUUAAAGGGAGCGUAGGCGGGUUGUUAAGUCAGUUGUGAAAGUUUGCGGCUCAACCGUAAAAUUGCAGUUGAUACUGGCGACCUUGAGUGCAACAGAGGUAGGCGGAAUUCGUGGUGUAGCGGUGAAAUGCUUAGAUAUCACGAAGAACUCCGAUUGCGAAGGCAGCUUACUGGAUUGUAACUGACGCUGAUGCUCGAAAGUGUGGGUAUCAAACAGGAUUAGAUACCCUGGUAGUCCACACAGUAAACGAUGAAUACUCGCUGUUGGCGAUAUACAGUCAGCGGCCAAGCGAAAGCAUUAAGUAUUCCACCUGGGGAGUACGCCGGCAACGGUGAAACUCAAAGGAAUUGACGGGGGCCCGCACAAGCGGAGGAACAUGUGGUUUAAUUCGAUGAUACGCGAGGAACCUUACCCGGGCUUAAAUUGCAACUGACUGAACCGGAAACGGUUCUUUCUUCGGACAGUUGUGAAGGUGCUGCAUGGUUGUCGUCAGCUCGUGCCGUGAGGUGUCGGCUUAAGUGCCAUAACGAGCGCAACCCUUAUCGAUAGUUACUAGCAGGUCAUGCUGAGGACUCUAUUGAGACUGCCGUCGUAAGAUGUGAGGAAGGUGGGGAUGACGUCAAAUCAGCACGGCCCUUACGUCCGGGGCUACACACGUGUUACAAUGGGGGGUACAGAAGGCAGCUACACGGCGACGUGGUGCUAAUCCCGAAAGCCUCUCUCAGUUCGGAUUGGAGUCUGCAACCCGACUCCAUGAAGCUGGAUUCGCUAGUAAUCGCGCAUCAGCCACGGCGCGGUGAAUACGUUCCCGGGCCUUGCACACACCGCCCGUCA